Molecule: small nuclear RNA, 108 nt
Organism: Bos grunniens (domestic yak)
Lineage: Eukaryota; Metazoa; Chordata; Mammalia; Artiodactyla; Bovidae
Source: Ensembl
GUGCUCGCUUUGGCAGCACAUAUACUAAAAAUUGGAACGAUACAGAGAAGAUUAGCAUGGCCCCUGUGCAAGGAUGACACGCAAAUUCGUGAAGCAUUCCAUAUUUUU